Molecule: ribosomal RNA, 303 nt
Filed under: uncultured cyanobacterium
Lineage: Bacteria; Bacillati; Cyanobacteriota
Description: partial 16S ribosomal RNA
Rfam family: Bacterial small subunit ribosomal RNA
Source: RNAcentral
CAUGGCUGUCGUCAGCUCGUGUCGUGAGAUGUUGGGNUAAGUCCCGCAACGAGCGCAACCCUUAUUUUUAGUUGCCUUUANNACUCUAGNNAGACUGCUGGUUAUAAACCGGAGGAAGGCGGGGAUGACGUCAAGUCANNAUGCCCCUUACACCCUGGGCUACACACGUGCUACAAUGGGUGAGACAAUGAGAUGCAAAUCCGCGAGGACAAGCUAAUCUAUAAACUCAUUCUAAGUUCGGAUUGUAGGCUGCAACUCGCCUGCAUGAAGUUGGAAUCGCUAGUAAUCGCUGGUCAGCUAUAC